RNAcentral lists this ribosomal RNA (306 nucleotides) under uncultured bacterium. Its description in RNAcentral is "partial 16S ribosomal RNA". It matches the Rfam family "Bacterial small subunit ribosomal RNA", at positions 505 to 807 of the family's 1533-position model. The record is from RNAcentral.
GACAGCAGUAGCCACGGGAAUACGAAGGGUGCAAGCGUUACUCGGAAUUACUGGGCGUAAAGCGUGCGUAGGUGGUGGUUUAAGUCCGUUGUGAAAGCCCUGGGCUCAACCUGGGAAUUGCAGUGGAUACUGGGUCACUAGAGUGUGGUAGAGGAUAGUGGAAUUUCCGGUGUAGCAGUGAAAUGCGUAGAGAUCGGAAGGAACAUCUGUGGCGAAGGCGACUAUCUGGGCCAACACUGACACUGAGGCACGAAAGCGUGGGGAGCAAACAGGAUUAGAUACCCCCGUAGUCCCUGUCUCUUAUAC